AAAUUGAAGAGUUUGAUCAUGGCUCAGAUUGAACGCUGGCGGCAGGCCUAACACAUGCAAGUCGAACGGUAGCACAGAGAGCUUGCUCUCGGGUGACGAGUGGCGGACGGGUGAGUAAUGUCUGGGAAACUGCCCGAUGGAGGGGGAUAACUACUGGAAACGGUAGCUAAUACCGCAUAACGUCGCAAGACCAAAGAGGGGGACCUUAGGGCCUCUUGCCAUCGGAUGUGCCCAGAUGGGAUUAGCUUGUUGGUGAGGUAACGGCUCACC
Molecule: ribosomal RNA, 270 nt
Filed under: Klebsiella indica
Lineage: Bacteria; Pseudomonadati; Pseudomonadota; Gammaproteobacteria; Enterobacterales; Enterobacteriaceae
Description: Bacterial small subunit ribosomal RNA
Rfam family: Bacterial small subunit ribosomal RNA
Source: Rfam by way of RNAcentral